Molecule: ribosomal RNA, 253 nt
Filed under: uncultured bacterium
Lineage: Bacteria
Description: partial 16S ribosomal RNA
Rfam family: Bacterial small subunit ribosomal RNA
Source: RNAcentral
UACGAAGGAUGCGAGCGUUAUCCGGAUUUAUUGGGUUUAAAGGGAGCGUAGGCGGUCUUAUAAGUCAGUGGUGAAAUCUCGUUGCUUAACAACGAACGUGCCAUUGAUACUGUAGGACUUGAGUACAGUUGCCGUUGGCGGAAUGUGUCAUGUAGCGGUGAAAUGCUUAGAUAUGACAUAGAACACCGAUUGCGAAGGCAGCUCACUACAGAUGUAUUGACACUGAGGCACGAAAGCGUGGGGAUCAAACAGG